RNAcentral lists this ribosomal RNA (758 nucleotides) under uncultured bacterium. Its description in RNAcentral is "bacterial SSU rRNA". It matches the Rfam family "Archaeal small subunit ribosomal RNA", at positions 455 to 1215 of the family's 1478-position model. The record is from RNAcentral.
GUGCCAGCAGCCGCGGUAAUACCGGCUGCUCAGUGAUAACCACUAUUACUGGGUUUAAAGCGUCCGUACUGAUUGUUAGGUCUUCUUGGGAAAUCUUCACGCUCAACGUGAAGGCGUCUAAAGAUACCGGCAAUCUUGGAACUGGGAGAGGUAAACCGUACUUCGGGGGUAGAGUGAAAUCUUGUAAUCCUCGAGGGACGACCUAUGGCGAAGCAGUUUACCAGAACAGCUUCGACAGUGAGGGACGAAAGCUGGGGGAGCAAACGGGAUUAGAUACCCCGGUAGUCCCAGCCGUAAACAAUGUGCGUUAGUGUCUGUCGGUAACCACGUGUUACUGAUGAGCCGAAGAGAAAUCGUGAAACGCACCACCUGGGAAGUACGGUCGCAAGGCUGAAACUUAAAGGAAUUGGCGGGGGAGCACCACAACAGGUGGAGCCUGCGGUUUAAUUGGAUUCAACGCCGGACAUCUCACCGGGUAAGACAGCUGUAUGAUUGUCAAUCUGAAGGUUUUACAUGACUAGCUGAGAGGAGGUGCAUGGCCGUCGUCAGUUCGUACUGUGAAGCAUCCUGUUAAGUCAGGCAACGAGCGAGACCCACGCCGACAAUUGCCAGCGGCAUCUUCGGAUGGCCGGGGACAUUGUCGGGACCGCCUCUGCUAAAGAGGAGGAACGGAAUGGGCAACGGUAGGUCAGCAUGCCCCGAAUUAUCCGGGCUACACGCGGGCUACAAUGGGCGGGACAAUGGGUAACGACACCGAA